This 485-nucleotide ribosomal RNA is filed under the name Lysobacter sp. IO8. RNAcentral describes it as "bacterial SSU rRNA". It matches the Rfam family "Bacterial small subunit ribosomal RNA", at positions 340 to 817 of the family's 1533-position model. The record is from RNAcentral. Lineage: Bacteria; Pseudomonadati; Pseudomonadota; Gammaproteobacteria; Lysobacterales; Lysobacteraceae.
UWCGGGAGGCAGCAGUGGGGAAUAUUGGACAAUGGGCGCAAGCCUGAUCCAGCCAUGCCGCGUGUGUGAAGAAGGCCUUCGGGUUGUAAAGCACUUUUGUCCGGAAAGAAAAGCUUCGGGUUAAUAACCCGGAGUUAUGACGGUACCGGAAGAAUAAGCACCGGCUAACUUCGUGCCAGCAGCCGCGGUAAUACGAAGGGUGCAAGCGUUACUCGGAAUUACUGGGCGUAAAGCGUGCGUAGGUGGUUUGUUAAGUCUGAUGUGAAAGCCCUGGGCUCAACCUGGGAACUGCAUUGGAAACUGGCUGACUAGAGUGCGGUAGAGGGGUGUGGAAUUCCCGGUGUAGCAGUGAAAUGCGUAGAUAUCGGGAGGAACAUCUGUGGCGAAGGCGACACCCUGGACCAGCACUGACACUGAGGCACGAAAGCGUGGGGAGCAAACAGGAUUAGAUACCCUGGUAGUCCACGCCCUAAACGAUGCGAACU